GACGAACGCUGGCGGCGUGCUUAACACAUGCAAGUCGAACGGAAAGGCCCCUUUGGGGGUACUCGAGUGGCGAACGGGUGAGUAACACGUGAGUAACCUGCCCUUGACUUCGGGAUAACUUCAGGAAACUGGGGCUAAUACCGGAUAGGAAUCCUUGCUGCAUGGUGGGGGUUGGAAAGCUUCGGCGGUUUUGGAUGGACUCGCGGCUUAUCAGCUUGUUGGUGGGGUAGUGGCUUACCAAGGCUUUGACGGGUAGCCGGCCUGAGAGGGCGACCGGCCACAUUGGGACUGAGAUACGGCCCAGACGCCUACGGGAGGCAGCAGUGGGGAAUAUUGCACAAUGGGCGGAAGCCUGAUGCAGCAACGCCGCGUGCGGGAUGACGGCCUUCGGGUUGUAAACCGCUUUCAGCAGGGGCGAAGCUUGUGGUGACGGUACCGGCAGAAGAAGCACCGGCUAACUACGUG
RNAcentral lists this ribosomal RNA (465 nucleotides) under uncultured bacterium. RNAcentral describes it as "partial 16S ribosomal RNA". It matches the Rfam family "Bacterial small subunit ribosomal RNA", at positions 28 to 507 of the family's 1533-position model. The record is from RNAcentral.